AGAAGAACACCUCUGGAAUGAUAAGCCGCCCCUCUCCAGGGAGGAUGGAGUGGAUCAUCCCUCUGAUUGUGGUAUCAGCCUUGACCUUCGUGUGCCUCAUUCUUCUCAUUGCUGUGCUAGUGUACUGGAGAGGGUGUAACAAAAUAAAGUCCAAGGGCUUUCCCAGACGUUUCCGUGAAGUGCCUUCUUCUGGGGAGAGAGGAGAGAAAGGGAGCAGGUGGUCCCAAACAUGUACCUAACUAGAUCUUUAAACUAUCACUCUUAUAAUGCAGUCAGCCAGUACGUCAACAAAAUAAAAAAGUUGCCAAAGGUUUGUACCAAUUCAUUUUAGAUAAUAAAUACUGAAUAACAAGGAAUAAAAUAAGAA
Molecule: non-coding RNA, 367 nt
Organism: Castor canadensis (American beaver)
Lineage: Eukaryota; Metazoa; Chordata; Mammalia; Rodentia; Castoridae
Source: RefSeq, a predicted model, not a curated record